CGUGCCUCAUGGCGAGGUAAUCCAGGGAAGCAUUCCUUCAACUGGUCCCACGUCACUGUAUGUAGAGGAACUGGUGGAUAUAGGAAACGAAGUUCAAGUGGGAAGAAUGAAGUGGGACAGGGUUCUUGCACAGAAGGAGGACAGCAUGUUCCUCAAAG
Molecule: long non-coding RNA, 158 nt
Organism: Ornithodoros turicata
Lineage: Eukaryota; Metazoa; Arthropoda; Arachnida; Ixodida; Argasidae
Exons: 3
Source: RefSeq, a predicted model, not a curated record